UCAAGAGCAUCUCAUCCUCCGGCUGCUGAGUCAUCCUGCUCUGGCAGUUAUUUAAACAGAAGCCUCCAGGAGACAUACAAUCAACACUCCACUCAGACAAUGCCCAGACCUCCAGAAAUCAUGUGUCAAGCUUGGAUUGCCUUAGACAGGUGCAAUUUUAAAACAGCUUUCAUCCUCUUUUCUCUCAUAUUGUCACACUAUGGGUUCUGACUUCUGGCUCCUUUCCUCACAAGAAGCUCACCCAGCUGGAACUCUUAUGGGACCUUGGCACCAGAGACCACCAAUUCCUCUUUGAAGUUUUCUAACAGCAUCAUUGGUAUUUCUGACUUGGCUUUCUUGUAUUUCUCUCACGUUAACAAAACUGGUUGAGCAUCUACCACGGGCUACAUGCUGAGCUACAGGUGCUGUUGAUGAAACUGCCAAAGGAGCUGAAUAUGACUGACAUCUUUGGAAGGAUGAGACUUAGCGUGCCCGUACAGUUGUGUCCAAAUGCUGUCCUUAUCUCCCAAUGGAAAGCCUCACAACAAUUUCCAGCAUUGCCAGCAGCAUUCAGUACAUUCAGAACAGGAUCAUUUCACCCGCAGCUGAACUAGGGCCAUGCCUGGGACAGACAGAGAAUGGCCUUCCAGCAGACAUGCCAAGGAGCAAGCCAGGGUCACUGAGUGAAGAGGAGGGCAGGCCCAUUUGAAGCAACACAGUUUAUCCCCAAACAAGUCACAUGUGUAAUGCAGUGGGAGAGCAGUGCCCUGAAGGAAAAGGUGGCCGGCUGGACUGCCAAGAGAACAGACGUCCGCUGCAAGUAAUAUGAGCCGUCCCCAGGUUCUGCCUCCAUCCUGACGUCCAGUGUUGGAUUCCUCUUCACAUCAACCCCUCUCUGCAGGUUGGGCCAUCAGACCCUACCUCCUUAUUUAUGUUGAGCAAAGGAGAGAGAAUGCCUCUACAGACAACGAAAAAAGUGAAAAAAAAAAUCCUUCUCCUCCUUAUAACUUUAGUUAGCUUAACUUUAGUCAGUUUAACUUUAGUCAGUUGCUUAGCUACUAAACAGUAGCUAUUAGGAGGUGGGAAGGAAUACUAUUGUGUAAUCAACUAAGGCUCAUACAGAAGAUUAGGGUUAUCUGGAAUGAUUUGAAUUCAUUAGAAUUUACUCUCAGAGCUGUGGCAAUUCCUUGAACCACAUUGAUUGCUAUAAGGUAGAAGAGGAAUAGAUUGAAUUUUGGGGAGUCAACUACAAUGUGUACUACAGGUAAAUACUAUGAAUUUCCAAUUCACAGAUGAGAAAAUUGAGGCAUGUGCUGGGAGGGAGGUUAUGUAAUUUGCCCAAUAUCACAAUUGAACCUAGGCAAAAGCCUAUCUCCAGGUCUAACAAUUCAGUGACCUCCUGUGUACAUUUCUGUCUCUCUGUUUUUUAGAGUCGGGGUCUCACUGGGCCACCCAGGCUGGAUUGCAGUGGCUUGAUCAUGGAGAUCGUGGCUUUCUGUAGCCUUGAACUCCUGGGCUCAAGUGAUCCUCCUGCCCCAGCUUCCCGAGUGGCUGGGACUACAGGCUUGACAACACACCCGGCUAUCCUGUGUACAUUUCUUGAGAGCUUAUGAUAUAUAAGAGAAACUCUAAAAUAAGGGGAGGGUAUGCUAAGGGGAAGACCAAAUCACUAUCGAGGUGGAUUCAAUCCUACCUCUUUUAUUUCCUAGUUGUGUGACUCUUUUGAAAGGGGAAUAAUAGGCCAGGCACGGUGGCUCCUGCCUGUAAUCCCAGCACUUUGGGAGGCCCAGGCGGGCAGA
This is a non-coding RNA of Macaca mulatta (Rhesus monkey), 1778 nucleotides long. The record is from RefSeq and is a predicted model, not a curated record. Lineage: Eukaryota; Metazoa; Chordata; Mammalia; Primates; Cercopithecidae.